Molecule: ribosomal RNA, 1436 nt
Filed under: uncultured organism
Description: SSU rRNA
Rfam family: Bacterial small subunit ribosomal RNA
Source: RNAcentral
UCGGCGUGCCUAACACAUGCAAGUCGAACGAAGCGAUUAAGAUGAAGUUUUCGGAUGGAAUCUUGAUUGACUGAGUGGCGGACGGGUGAGUAACGCGUGGAUAACCUGCCUCACACUGGGGGAUAACAGUUAGAAAUGACUGCUAAUACCGCAUAAGCGCACAGUGCCGCAUGGCAGUGUGUGAAAAACUCCGGUGGUGUGAGAUGGAUCCGCGUCUGAUUAGCCAGUUGGCGGGGUAACGGCCCACCAAAGCGACGAUCAGUAGCCGGCCUGAGAGGGUGACCGGCCACAUUGGGACUGAGACACGGCCCAAACUCCUACGGGAGGCAGCAGUGGGGAAUAUUGCACAAUGGGCGAAAGCCUGAUGCAGCGACGCCGCGUGAGUGAAGAAGUAUUUCGGUAUGUAAAGCUCUAUCAGCAGGGAAGAAAAUGACGGUACCUGACUAAGAAGCCCCGGCUAACUACGUGCCAGCAGCCGCGGUAAUACGUAGGGGGCAAGCGUUAUCCGGAUUUACUGGGUGUAAAGGGAGCGUAGACGGCGAAGCAAGUCUGAAGUGAAAACCCAGGGCUCAACCCUGGGACUGCUUUGGAAACUGUUUUGCUAGAGUGUCGGAGAGGUAAGUGGAAUUCCUAGUGUAGCGGUGAAAUGCGUAGAUAUUAGGAGGAACACCAGUGGCGAAGGCGGCUUACUGGACGAUAACUGACGUUGAGGCUCGAAAGCGUGGGGAGCAAACAGGAUUAGAUACCCUGGUAGUGCACGCCGUAAACGAUGAAUGCUAGGUGUUGGGGGGCAAAGCCCUUCGGUGCCGCCGCAAACGCAGUAAGCAUUCCACCUGGGGAGUACGUUCGCAAGAAUGAAACUCAAAGGAAUUGACGGGGACCCGCACAAGCGGUGGAGCAUGUGGUUUAAUUCGAAGCAACGCGAAGAACCUUACCAAGUCUUGACAUCCCCCUGACGGGCCGGUAACGCGGCCUUUCCUUCGGGACAGGGGAGACAGGUGGUGCAUGGUUGUCGUCAGCUCGUGUCGUGAGAUGUUGGGUUAAGUCCCGCAACGAGCGCAACCCUUAUCCUUAGUAGCCAGCAGGCAGAGCUGGGCACUCUAGGGAGAUUGCCAGGGAUAACCUGGAGGAAGGUGGGGAUGACGUCAAAUCAUCAUGCCCCUUAUGAUUUGGGCUACACACGUGCUACAAUGGCGUAAACAAAGGGAAGCGAGACAGUGAUGUGGAGCAAAUCCCAAAAAUAACGUCCCAGUUCGGACUGUAGUCUGCAACCCGACUACACGAAGCUGGAAUCGCUAGUAACCGCGAAUCAGAAUGUCGCGGUGAAUACGUUCCCGGGUCUUGUACACACCGCCCGUCACACCAUGGGAGUCAGCAACGCCCGAAGUCAGUGACCCAACCGAAAGGAGGGAGCUGCCGAAGGCGGGGCAGGUAAC